UUGAAGUGUGCAGAGGAAGAAGAAGAGCAUACAGCUCUCACUGAAAGGUCAAAGUCCGCCGCGCCUGAGGGAGGAAGCUACUAAAAAGACCAUAGUGUAUGUUUGUGCUCGGAAGGCAACCAGAAAACAGUCUCCAUCAACAGACCACAGAGACAGGGGAGGAGGGGCUCAGUGGGGAGGAGAAGCAGUACUCUGGACACAUCUUCUCAGCUGAAGACCAACCACACCCAUAGACAUGGUAAUCCUAAUUCUUCCGGAGCCAUCAGCCGCCUGAUAUUGGAAUACCUCGUGGACCAAAGCUCACUGUGAACCAAUUAACUGCCAGUCAUUUAAAAACAAAUUUGCAAAGCUGCAUGACCUGAUCCUGAGUCUUUUGUUCAGCAGUUGGUCUUACAGCAAAGCCGCUACAGAUCCACUGGGAAUUAGAGUGUAAGCAGAGACUGGAUGCUGAUGUACAGACCUGGAAAUAUGUUUCUGCGGAGACAGUGACCCAGGCUGUGGUAGCUGUGGGGGUAUGAAAAGGCCGAUCCGGGAUCAACAUAGUGAGGCAGCGACAGGGACAGCACCUGAGGGAUUUCUACUGCCUAAAGCACAACAUGUUCAGAGGAAA
Long non-coding RNA from Dicentrarchus labrax (European seabass), 610 nucleotides. RefSeq lists it as uncharacterized. Lineage: Eukaryota; Metazoa; Chordata; Actinopteri; Moronidae. The transcript has 2 exons. The record is from RefSeq and is a predicted model, not a curated record.